This 1034-nucleotide long non-coding RNA is filed under the name Lonchura striata (white-rumped munia). Its description in RNAcentral is "domestica (Bengalese finch) lncRNA (ENSLSDG00000001469.1)". The record is from RNAcentral. Lineage: Eukaryota; Metazoa; Chordata; Aves; Passeriformes; Estrildidae.
GGAAUGGACAGGGAUGUUCAAUUCCCUCUUGUCCAGCCCUGACAUUCCACAGGGAUCCAGAGCAGGGACAGGGAAUGGACAGGGAUGUUCAAUUCCCUCUUUUCCAGCUCUGACAUCCCACAGGGAUCCAGAGCAGGGACAGGGAAUGGACAGGGAUGUUCAAUUCCCUCUUGUCCAGCCCUGACAUUCCACAGGGAUAUCCCAUCUGGACAUUCCCUGCUCUGUCCUGGCGUUCUCUGCUCCAUCCCAGUCCCUCCUCCAGUCGUUUUCCUCCUGCUCUUCCCAUCCUGGACAUUCCCUACUCCAUCCUGGCAUUCCCUGCUCCAUCCUGACGUUCCCUACUCCAUCCAGGACAUUCCCUACUCCAUCCUGGCAUUCCCUACUCCAUUCUGGACAUUCCCUACUCCAUCCUGCCAAUCCCUGCUCCAUCCUGACGUUCCCUGCUCCAUCCUGAUGUUCCCUGCUCCAUCCUGGCAUUCCCUGCUCCAUCCUGACGUUCCCUGCUCCAUCCUGACAUUCCCUGCUCCACCCUGGACAUGCCCUGCACCAUUCCAUCUGCUCUCCAGGCGUUUUCCUCCUGCUCUUUGUACCCUGCUCCAUCCUGGACAUGCCCUGCUCCAUCCCAGCCGCUCUCCAGACUCUCUCCAGCCCAGAGCCCAGCUCGGAUCUCAGGAGGGCCAGGACGGGGCCAGACCCAACUCCGGGAUGAUCCCAAACCACCGGAUCCUGCUCCAACCCUUCCCUUUCCAUGCACGGAGCGGAGUCUCCCAUGCAGUGCCCACCCCCGGGGCAUGCCGUGAGAGCGGCGGGCGCUGCCCGGUGCUGGGGUGGCCCCGGUGCAUCCCGGGACCCACAGCCGUGGGUCAGUGCCAGUUUGAGAACCACGGCCGUGGGUCAGUGCCAGCUCGGGAACCACGGCCGUGGGUCAGUGCCAGUUAGAGAACCACAGCCGUGGGUCAGUGCCGGAUCAGGAGCCACGGCCGUGGGUCAGUGCCAGUUUGAGAACCACGGCCGUGGGUCAGUGCCAGGUCAGG